Long non-coding RNA from Lotus japonicus, 1100 nucleotides. RefSeq lists it as uncharacterized. The transcript has 6 exons. The record is from RefSeq and is a predicted model, not a curated record. Lineage: Eukaryota; Viridiplantae; Streptophyta; Magnoliopsida; Fabales; Fabaceae.
AAAAAAGGCUGCCAAGAUCAGACUUCAAUUGGAAAGAGAAAUAAUAAAAAACUGAGAAACCCCAUCUCUUCUCAAUUUGCUAUCUCACUUUUCAGUUCUGAUUUUCGUCCUCUUCAUCUCCCUUGAAACCCUAUCUCACUUCUUCACUAUCUAUUCAUCAGUUCUCUAUUAGAAGAAGGGUCUGCUGCACCCAUUUCCGGUAUGACACGAAGACUUAACUUAAUUUCACAAGUAAAUGACUCCAAACUCCAAAGCGACAUGGAAAUAGGAAGUGAGGCUAACAAAUUUAUGACAUAUUGACCAAUCUGGAAGAAUGAGUGAUAUGGAGAUGCUGUUUAUGAGUCAUUUUCCUUCUGAUGAAUGAAUUAAUUCCCUUGGAGGGACAAUUUCUUAGAGGUAGUGCACAAUAUCAAUUGAACCCUUUUUUAAGUGCCCACUCUCUGUUUCCUUGCAGAGGAGCAUGAUAUUUUUAAUUCAAAAGCUGAGCAGUAUUUUUUUCUUGCUUUCUUUUAACUGGAGUUACCCCUAUGGGUAUGUUGAAGUUCAUGAAAGUUGAAGUAUUAGCCAUAUACUAUGUAAAAAGCCACUUACAAGUAUGUGCCAUUUCUUGCACUUUUUUUUACAGCUCAUACUUAUUUCCCAAGAUAUUGUAUGGUUUCAAUCCAAUUGAUAUGCUUUCACUGAACAAUCACAUGUUCUUAGGACAAACUCAUAUUGAAGUUAAGAGUCAGUCUAACACAAGUGACUAUGACUUGGGUGUCUUUAACUGAUCUCUCUAAUUUAGUAUUUUCUUUUCAAUUUUUAGUGUCCAAAUUUGGUAGCACAGAUGAAGAACCUAAUGUUCCUUCAUGUAGCUCAUUCAUUGGUUGAAAACCUCUAGCUACCUGCUUCUUGCUGGAUCAUCCUCACACACUAUAGUAGCCAGCUUAAUUGGAUGCUGCAUUUUGGAGCCUCAUGUGAAAAGCUUCUUUAUAUCGGCUUACAAGCUGUUACUCACUUUAGCAGUUUAGCGUACUGUCAUUAGUUACCUCUGUAAAUUUAGUUUCACCCUGAUGUGUUUAGAUUUAUCAAUUGAAAUCAAAAUUACCAUUAUUAGGUAG